Molecule: long non-coding RNA, 1062 nt
Organism: Photinus pyralis (common eastern firefly)
Lineage: Eukaryota; Metazoa; Arthropoda; Insecta; Coleoptera; Lampyridae
Exons: 2
Source: RefSeq, a predicted model, not a curated record
CUAAGAGGAGUGAUUUAAAUAGCGCCCGCGAAAAAUCUGCAUUGUGAUUGGCUUAUACGGCGCCGUUUUUACACAGACGCAAUUUGAGGAUCUUGACAAUUCAGUUGACAUCUUUAUUCGCUGUGUCAUUUACAAUUGUGUUAUUCGUAUUUUAUUUAAUUUUGCCUUUUUCGUGUGUUUUAACUCUUGUUCAAAUUUCAAUUAAACAAUCAGUUCUUAUUAGAACUAAACCGGGUACCUGUACUUGAUUUUGUUGGUGCAAAUACUUCGAAAUAUGGAUUCCACGCCAAGUACUUAGUAAAGCGAACAUUUCACCUGUAAAAAAGCGUACGCGUCUUAAUUUGGGGCAUUUAUCGAUCUCAGAAAAGCAGUGCAUACUCGACUUAUAUAAACAGAUGUUAAAUGAUGACCCUGGCACAAAGAUAGUUACCAUUGUUGCAAAAAUUGAUGAAGGCGCAGGAAUUGCAAAAUCCACGGUUUACCGAAUAAUAAAGGAGUAUAAGAAAACGAGAGCUGUAACCCACCUUUGGUAUCGCAAUUUGACGAUAGCAUAAAAUCAUCAGUUCGUCAAAUUAUUCACAACUUUUUCUAUCUCAAUGAACUUCCCACGUUGGACAAAAUCAAUAGUCGUGAAGAUUUAUCACAAAGUGUCCUUCAUCUACUUGAACGUGACGACAUAAUAAGAUGGAGACGAAAGCAUUUAAAAUCUAUUAAACAAUAUAGGAACCAAAGACGAGUCAUAUAUUACUUAGAUGAAACAUGGUUAAAUGAAGGCCAUACAAAACAGUGUGGACUGAUGAUAACGUUCGUACUCGACGACAAGCGUUUGAGGAAGGAUUGUCUACCGGUUUAAAGAAUCCUUCUGGAAAAGGGAAACGUCUCAUUAUUUUACAUGUUGGCUCUGAAAACAGUUUCGUAAACGAGGGUCUACUACUUUUUGAAGGAAGAAAAACUUCCAUUAUCACGAAGAAAUGAAUGCGGAAGUGUUUGAAGAAUGGUUUGCAUCUUUCUUAGUGAAAAUUCCUGAAAAUGCUGUAAUUUUACAAUAUAUUGUAGCUAGCA